AUUGUCUUCAGGUGUGCAAGCCAGUUACUGGGCAAUGCUUGACGAGGGACGGAUAAAUGCAGCUACAGCCAAUAUUUUGAUGCGAUCAGUUGAUGAAGCUAUGUAUCUUGUUUCUAGCCGGCCAUUAUGCGAUUGGAACAGUUUGCAGUCCAAUGUCCAUUUCCCAAGUUACUACAGAAUGAAGGUCAACAAGACGGGUAGAGGGUAUACCUGGACUUCCUUGGGGAUGUAGAUCAACAAGAGGUGGUAGAGGUCAACAUGAGAAGAUCAAAUAAGAACUAUUUGAUAAUGCACGUUAUUUACAAAAGCCCCAUACCUACCAUAAUUGGGUAAUACUCGUCAAUGUUGUGACUCGGUGCGGGAACAAUUUCUAGGAUGGAUUCGUCGACAUUUAUACCCUCAUUAUGGCCUGUAACACGGUAGUUAUAUGCAAUGUUGAGAUUACACCAGAAUGAAGGUCAACAAGACGGGGUAGAGGUAAACCUGGACUUCCUUGGGGAUGUAGAUCAACAAGAGGGGGUAGAGGCUAACAUGAGAAGCUAGAGUAGAGGUCCAUUUCAAAGUAAACUUACAGGAGGACAAAGCUACCAACUGCUUACAGGAAAAGCUUGAACCUGGUCGAGCUGGGAACAUUGAUAAAGAAAAGGCGUAAUUUAGCUUUGCGUAAAAUUCAGA
This 675-nucleotide ribosomal RNA is filed under the name Triticum aestivum (bread wheat). Its description in RNAcentral is "partial small subunit ribosomal RNA". Lineage: Eukaryota; Viridiplantae; Streptophyta; Magnoliopsida; Poales; Poaceae. The record is from RNAcentral.